This 581-nucleotide ribosomal RNA is filed under the name Salmonella enterica subsp. enterica serovar Newport. RNAcentral's name for it is "partial 23S ribosomal RNA". It matches the Rfam family "Bacterial large subunit ribosomal RNA", at positions 711 to 1289 of the family's 2925-position model. The record is from RNAcentral. Lineage: Bacteria; Pseudomonadati; Pseudomonadota; Gammaproteobacteria; Enterobacterales; Enterobacteriaceae.
AGACCCGAAACCCGGUGAUCUAGCCAUGGGCAGGUUGAAGGUUGGGUAACACUAACUGGAGGACCGAACCGACUAAUGUUGAAAAAUUAGCGGAUGACCUGUGGCUGGGGGUGAAAGGCCAAUCAAACCGGGAGAUAGCUGGUUCUCCCCGAAAGCUAUUUAGGUAGCGCCUCGUGAAUUCAUCUCCGGGGGUAGAGCACUGUUUCGGCUAGGGGGCCAUCCCGGCUUACCAACCCGAUGCAAACUGCGAAUACCGGAGAAUGUUAUCACGGGAGACACACGGCGGGUGCUAACGUCCGUCGUGAAGAGGGAAACAACCCAGACCGCCAGCUAAGGUCCCAAAGUCAUGGUUAAGUGGGAAACGAUGUGGGAAGGCCCAGACAGCCAGGAUGUUGGCUUAGAAGCAGCCAUCAUUUAAAGAAAGCGUAAUAGCUCACUGGUCGAGUCGGCCUGCGCGGAAGAUGUAACGGGGCUAAACCAUGCACCGAAGCUGCGGCAGCGACACUGUGUGUUGUUGGGUAGGGGAGCGUUCUGUAAGCCUGUGAAGGUGUGUCGUGAGGCAUGCUGGAGGUAUCAGAAGU